CAUGUGAAAAAACUUUAGUUGGUGGGGAAACCGGGAAAGGGAGGACGGGCAUAACCCUAGCUCUACCGGGAACUCGCUGGGUGGGUGCCGCCGCCGCUCCACAACUCCGGCGACAUCGCCGCCUCGCUUCCUACCACCGACGUCUACGCCGAGAUCUCCACCUACAUUCCCUCCGCCGCCCUCUACCUGAACAGCAGCCUGUCCUGGCCGCGGCGCCCUUGACUCAACGCCGAUCGAAGAUCGACGGCGCCGCCCUCUUCGCUCGCGAAGAAUGCCGAGGUCUUCAGGGUGGUACGGGAGAGAUGCCUGGCUUUCAUUUCCUCGCGACGCCCGUGACAGCUCAGCGGUGACGCACGAUAUUGGAGGGCGCCGAUGCUGGUAGGCGAAAUGGAAGGCGUCGCCUGCGCGUUAUUCGGUGGUCCAAGACAUCGGCGGCGCGUGAGCUUCUCCGGCGUAGGUCCUUCCAAGUGUUCGUGGUCGACGUCGAGCUGGACAGGACUUCGUUGCACUGCCGCUGCAGUUGCGUGCGACAGGACGGGUUUGGCGUGCAAUUGUCCUUGCCUAGGGUUCAGUGGCGAGAUGCCCGCUACGGCCAGGUGGCUGACGCUCACGCAGGGUGCCGGGAAGGUGUGCCUGGGCUCUCAGUGGCAGCCUGGUGGCCAGCACUGGGUUACUGAGCGAGUGCCAAGAAGACAUCAACAGGCUCCUUAAGGGUGAUCAAUCUUCUCGUUCUGCCAAGCCUCCACAAGAGCCACCAACCAAUAUCCUCUUCAUCCAGAACUAUCCUGGUCUUUAUGGCGAGGCAUGAUCGGAAUUUGCUAUGAUCCUUUUCUCCGGUGUUUACUUUAGUUAGUUUAUAAUGUUUCGAACUAGAGUUUAGUUCUACAUGUGUUUACUUAAGUUAGUUAUUUUGUUUGAUUGAGAAGUCUGGCGUGUUUACAAAAGUCCAUCUCAGAAUAUACAUUUUAGGGUAUUUUUUCCCUAGAUAUUUUUUCAAAAUACAAGCAAUCACUCUGAUACCUUAACAUGACCCAUUCUACAAACGUGACAAUGGUGUCUUAAGUGAGACCAGAAUACAACACUGUUCAGCACGCAAAUCAACAAUUGGGAUUGCUUUGUUACGUCAGUCGAGAUUGCUUACGGAGCUCCAUCAAAACAAGUUAGCAAGCAUCAGGAGAGAUCACAUAAAAAUAUUUUAUUUCAAACUAGUUGACUGCAAAUAAGUACCAACCAAAAUACUCUUCCAAUUACAGUCAGUUUAACUAGAACACCAUCAGCAUUAUUCCAACAUAUCUAUUCUCCAGUCGGCAACGAGAAAGCUCGACGUCUAGUAGACACAUGACAAGCGUCUUUUGUGCAUAUUCAUCCCGUUAGGCAUUAGCGGUGGUAGCCACCACCUUGGGAAGACAAGGCACCAGCACCUGCAGAUUGGGCACGGACUGCAUAGCCAAUAUCGAUUCCGUGAGCCUGCAAAAGUUAAGAACAAUUUAGUUCCUGCUAUAUUGUUCAUGGUGAAGUUACAACAUUGGAGGUGGGUUGACUCAGCGAAACAGGACAUGAAACAGAGGUUUGUAGAUACCUUGAUCCAGAGCUUUUUCCUCAAGUCACAAACCACCUGGUAUAUGCAUGAAGAGAUAAGAAGGAGACACAGUAAAUAAUAUGUAUAGUAUACCACAAAUAAUAUUGGUGAAAAAAUAUAGAUAUAACUCAUAUCCUUCUUCCUCACUUCUGAAGGUCUUGCUAACCACUAGCGUCUUUUGUGCAUAUUCAUCCCGUUAGGCAUUAGCGGUGGUAGCCACCACCUUGGGAAGACAAGGCACCAGCACCUGCAGAUUGGGCACGGACUGCAUAGCCAAUAUCGAUUCCGUGAGCCUGCAAAAGUUAAGAACAAUUUAGUUCCUGCUAUAUUGUUCAUGGUGAAGUUACAACAUUGGAGGUGGGUUGACUCAGCGAAACAGGACAUGAAACAGAGGUACAUGACGCUUUGUACUCUGGAUUUUCGUUCUGAAGAUAAAUACGGAGUACAUGAAGGAACGACAGAUGGUGGCGGAGUACCUGGCAGCGCCUCUCGAUGUUGCGGCGGCCUCGACGUGUGGCGGCAUAGCUCGCCGGCGAUGCAGGACAAGCCCGAUCUGCUGGCGGCGGCGGUCGCCCGCGAUGGACACGGUGGCGUCGUCAUUCGCCGGUGAUGCAGUAUCUGUCCGAUCCGGGUGGCGGCAGCGGUCGCCCGUGAUGGUCGCCCGCCAUGGAGGACAGGGACGACCUGGUGGCGGCGUCACUCGCCGGAGAUGCAGUAUCUUUCCGAUCCGGUAGCGGCGGAGGCGGUCGCCAUCGACGCAGACGGGGCGUCGAUGCCAGCGGCGGCCGCCCUCGACCCAGAUACGGGCGUUUCUCUCCGCUCUACCAAAGAUCUGUUACCCAAUUGUUGGGCCGGGCCAAAUACUGCUAAUUUUAUUUAUUUUUUCAUUAUCAACGUUUUACUGGGCUGCCGGGCCUAAUCUAAUCGGCUAAUCCUGACCCUUCCUCAAAUCA
Long non-coding RNA from Lolium perenne, 2532 nucleotides. RefSeq lists it as uncharacterized. The record is from RefSeq and is a predicted model, not a curated record. NCBI's taxonomy places the organism in Eukaryota, Viridiplantae, Streptophyta, Magnoliopsida, Poales, Poaceae.